This 2900-nucleotide ribosomal RNA is filed under the name Klebsiella quasipneumoniae subsp. similipneumoniae. RNAcentral's name for it is "bacterial LSU rRNA". It matches the Rfam family "Bacterial large subunit ribosomal RNA". The record is from RNAcentral. Lineage: Bacteria; Pseudomonadati; Pseudomonadota; Gammaproteobacteria; Enterobacterales; Enterobacteriaceae.
UUAAGCGACUAAGCGUACACGGUGGAUGCCCUGGCAGUCAGAGGCGAUGAAGGACGUGCUAAUCUGCGAAAAGCGUCGGUAAGGUGAUAUGAACCGUUAUAACCGGCGAUGUCCGAAUGGGGAAACCCAGUGUGAUUCGUCACACUAUCGUUAACUGAAUCCAUAGGUUAACGAGGCGAACCGGGGGAACUGAAACAUCUAAGUACCCCGAGGAAAAGAAAUCAACCGAGAUUCCCCCAGUAGCGGCGAGCGAACGGGGAGCAGCCCAGAGUCUGAAUCAGCUUGUGUGUUAGUGGAACGGUCUGGAAAGUCCGACGGUACAGGGUGAUAGUCCCGUACACCAAAAUGCACAGGUUGUGAACUCGAAGAGUAGGGCGGGACACGUGGUAUCCUGUCUGAAUAUGGGGGGACCAUCCUCCAAGGCUAAAUACUCCUGACUGACCGAUAGUGAACCAGUACCGUGAGGGAAAGGCGAAAAGAACCCCGGCGAGGGGAGUGAAAAAGAACCUGAAACCGUGUACGUACAAGCAGUGGGAGCACCUUCGGGUGUGACUGCGUACCUUUUGUAUAAUGGGUCAGCGACUUAUAUUCUGUAGCAAGGUUAACCGUAUAGGGGAGCCGCAGGGAAACCGAGUCUUAACUGGGCGUUAAGUUGCAGGGUAUAGACCCGAAACCCGGUGAUCUAGCCAUGGGCAGGUUGAAGGUUGGGUAACACUAACUGGAGGACCGAACCGACUAAUGUUGAAAAAUUAGCGGAUGACUUGUGGCUGGGGGUGAAAGGCCAAUCAAACCGGGAGAUAGCUGGUUCUCCCCGAAAGCUAUUUAGGUAGCGCCUCGUGAAUUCAUCUUCGGGGGUAGAGCACUGUUUCGGCUAGGGGGUCAUCCCGACUUACCAACCCGAUGCAAACUACGAAUACCGAAGAAUGUUAUCACGGGAGACACACGGCGGGUGCUAACGUCCGUCGUGAAGAGGGAAACAACCCAGACCGCCAGCUAAGGUCCCAAAGUCAUGGUUAAGUGGGAAACGAUGUGGGAAGGCACAGACAGCCAGGAUGUUGGCUUAGAAGCAGCCAUCAUUUAAAGAAAGCGUAAUAGCUCACUGGUCGAGUCGGCCUGCGCGGAAGAUGUAACGGGGCUAAACCAUGCACCGAAGCUGCGGCAGCGACACUAUGUGUUGUUGGGUAGGGGAGCGUUCUGUAAGCCUGCGAAGGUGACCUGUGAGGGUUGCUGGAGGUAUCAGAAGUGCGAAUGCUGACAUAAGUAACGAUAAAGCGGGUGAAAAGCCCGCUCGCCGGAAGACCAAGGGUUCCUGUCCAACGUUAAUCGGGGCAGGGUGAGUCGACCCCUAAGGCGAGGCCGAAAGGCGUAGUCGAUGGGAAACAGGUUAAUAUUCCUGUACUUGGUGUUACUGCGAAGGGGGGACGGAGAAGGCUAUGUUAGCCGGGCGACGGUUGUCCCGGUUUAAGCAUGUAGGCUGGUUAUCCAGGCAAAUCCGGAUAAUCAAGGCUGAGGUGUGAUGACGAGGCACUACGGUGCUGAAGUAACAAAUGCCCUGCUUCCAGGAAAAGCCUCUAAGCAUCAGGUAACACGAAAUCGUACCCCAAACCGACACAGGUGGUCAGGUAGAGAAUACCAAGGCGCUUGAGAGAACUCGGGUGAAGGAACUAGGCAAAAUGGUGCCGUAACUUCGGGAGAAGGCACGCUGGUGUGUAGGUGAAGUCCCUGCGGAUGGAGCUGAGACCAGUCGAAGAUACCAGCUGGCUGCAACUGUUUAUUAAAAACACAGCACUGUGCAAACACGAAAGUGGACGUAUACGGUGUGACGCCUGCCCGGUGCCGGAAGGUUAAUUGAUGGGGUUAUCCGUAAGGAGAAGCUCUUGAUCGAAGCCCCGGUAAACGGCGGCCGUAACUAUAACGGUCCUAAGGUAGCGAAAUUCCUUGUCGGGUAAGUUCCGACCUGCACGAAUGGCGUAAUGAUGGCCAGGCUGUCUCCACCCGAGACUCAGUGAAAUUGAACUCGCUGUGAAGAUGCAGUGUACCCGCGGCAAGACGGAAAGACCCCGUGAACCUUUACUAUAGCUUGACACUGAACAUUGAGCCUUGAUGUGUAGGAUAGGUGGGAGGCUUUGAAGCGUGGACGCCAGUCUGCGUGGAGCCAACCUUGAAAUACCACCCUUUAAUGUUUGAUGUUCUAACGUUGGCCCCUUAUCGGGGUUGCGGACAGUGUCUGGUGGGUAGUUUGACUGGGGCGGUCUCCUCCCAAAGCGUAACGGAGGAGCACGAAGGUUAGCUAAUCCUGGUCGGACAUCAGGAGGUUAGUGCAAUGGCAUAAGCUAGCUUGACUGCGAGCGUGACGGCGCGAGCAGGUGCGAAAGCAGGUCAUAGUGAUCCGGUGGUUCUGAAUGGAAGGGCCAUCGCUCAACGGAUAAAAGGUACUCCGGGGAUAACAGGCUGAUACCGCCCAAGAGUUCAUAUCGACGGCGGUGUUUGGCACCUCGAUGUCGGCUCAUCACAUCCUGGGGCUGAAGUAGGUCCCAAGGGUAUGGCUGUUCGCCAUUUAAAGUGGUACGCGAGCUGGGUUUAGAACGUCGUGAGACAGUUCGGUCCCUAUCUGCCGUGGGCGCUGGAGAAUUGAGGGGGGCUGCUCCUAGUACGAGAGGACCGGAGUGGACGCAUCACUGGUGUUCGGGUUGUCAUGCCAAUGGCACUGCCCGGUAGCUAAAUGCGGAAGAGAUAAGUGCUGAAAGCAUCUAAGCACGAAACUUGCCCCGAGAUGAGUUCUCCCUGAGACUUUAAGUCUCCUGAAGGAACGUUGAAGACGACGACGUUGAUAGGCCGGGUGUGUAAGCGCAGCGAUGCGUUGAGCUAACCGGUACUAAUGAACCGUGAGGCUUAACCUU